UACGUAGGGCGCGAGCGUUGUCCGGAAUUAUUGGGCGUAAAGAGCUCGUAGGCGGCCUGUCGCGUCCGCUGUGAAAAUCCCCGGGGGCUUAACCCCCGGGCCUGCAGUCGAUACGGGCAGGCUAGAGUUCGGCAGGGGAGACUGGAAUUCCUGGUGUAGCGGUGAAAUGCGCAGAUAUCGAGGAGGAACGACCGGUGGCGAAGGCGGGUCUCUGGGCCGAUACUGACGCUGAGGAGCGAAAGCGUGGGAGCGAA
This 254-nucleotide ribosomal RNA is filed under the name uncultured bacterium. RNAcentral describes it as "partial 16S ribosomal RNA". It matches the Rfam family "Bacterial small subunit ribosomal RNA", at positions 524 to 772 of the family's 1533-position model. The record is from RNAcentral.